GCGUGGGUCGGCCCGCUGAACUGGAUCCAGUGGGCUGGGGGACACCGCCGCCUCAAUCCCCGCGGGCGGCGGACCGGUCCGGGAGGCGGACAGCGCCUCCCGGACUGUG
Molecule: non-coding RNA, 109 nt
Filed under: Streptomyces sp. ERV7
Lineage: Bacteria; Bacillati; Actinomycetota; Actinomycetes; Kitasatosporales; Streptomycetaceae
Description: Streptomyces RNA 4115
Rfam family: Streptomyces RNA 4115
About the family: Identified by deep sequencing of transcriptome at the end of exponential growth phase. Sequencing size consistent with notrthern blot size. Streptomyces specific.
Source: Rfam by way of RNAcentral